CCUACGGGGGCAGCAGUAGGGAAUCUUCCACAAUGGGCGAAAGCCUGAUGGAGCAACGCCGCGUGGGUGAAGAAGGUCUUCGGAUCGUAAAACCCUGUUGUUAGAGAAGAAAGUGCGUGAGAGUAACUGUUCACGUUUCGACGGUAUCUAACCAGAAGGCAACGGCUAACUACGUGCCAGCAGCCGCGGUAAUACGGGGGUGGCAAGCGUGAUCCGGAUUGAUUGGGAGUAAAGGGAACGCAGGCGGUCUGUUAAGUCUGAUGUGAAAUCCUUCGGCUUAACCGGAGUAGGGCAUUGGAAACUGGGAGACGUGAGGGAAGAAGAGGAGAGUGGAACUCCAGGUGUAGCGAUGAAAUGCGUAGAUAUAUGGAAGAACACCAGUGGCGAAAGCGGCUCUCUGGUCUGUAACUGACGCUGAGGUUCGAAAGCGUGGGUAGCAAACAGGAUUAGAUACCCCAGUAGUC
This 464-nucleotide ribosomal RNA is filed under the name uncultured bacterium. RNAcentral's name for it is "partial 16S ribosomal RNA". It matches the Rfam family "Bacterial small subunit ribosomal RNA", at positions 338 to 795 of the family's 1533-position model. The record is from RNAcentral.